UAGGGAAUCUUCGGCAAUGGACGAAAGUCUGACCGAGCAACGCCGCGUGAGUGAAGAAGGCUUUCGGAUCGUAAAACUCUGUUGUUAGAGAAGAACAAGGACGUUAGUAACUGAACGUCCCCUGACGGUAUCUAACCAGAAAGCCACGGCUAACUACGUGCCAGCAGCCGCGGUAAUACGUAGGUGGCAAGCGUUGUCCGGAUUUAUUGGGCGUAAAGCGAGCGCAGGCGGUUUCUUAAGUCUGAUGUGAAAGCCCCCGGCUCAACCGGGGAGGGUCAUUGGAAACUGGAAGACUUGAGUGCAGAAGAGGGGAGUGGAAUUCCGUGUGUAGCGGUGAAAUGCGUAGAUAUAUGGAAGAACACCAGUGGCGAAGGCGGCUCUCUGGUCUGUAACUGACGCUGAGGCGCGAAAGCGUGGGGAGCAAACAGG
RNAcentral lists this ribosomal RNA (429 nucleotides) under Gemmatimonadota bacterium. RNAcentral describes it as "Gemmatimonadetes bacterium partial 16S ribosomal RNA". It matches the Rfam family "Bacterial small subunit ribosomal RNA", at positions 355 to 776 of the family's 1533-position model. Lineage: Bacteria; Pseudomonadati; Gemmatimonadota. The record is from RNAcentral.